This 2485-nucleotide long non-coding RNA is filed under the name Salmo trutta (river trout). Its description in RNAcentral is "lncRNA (ENSSTUG00000036959.1)". The record is from RNAcentral. Lineage: Eukaryota; Metazoa; Chordata; Actinopteri; Salmoniformes; Salmonidae.
GUGACGGUGAAGAUGUAUCGACGUGGAGCUCCAGGCUGGCUGGGAAAGCCCCUGACCUCCACCAGCACCAUCCCCUACAACACACACGUCAUCUUCAGGAUCAACGGAGAGGAGACGGACGCCAGGAUCCCUGCUAACACCAUCCAAAGCAUCACACUCAGCAUAUGACCUUUUAACCCUGGUUAUGGCCCAACAGGUACCCUAUAUAGUUCACUAGUUUUUAGUGCGCUGGUAUAUGGAAUAGGGUACCAUUUUUUGGGAUACAUCGCAGACGGUGGAUCUGCAUGAGAAACUAGCCUCUUCUCCACAGUCUGCAGGUUUUAGGUGUGUGUGUGCUGUUUUCUAAACUACCAGGUUGGGUAUCUGCUGAAUCAGUCACUAUUUAAACUAAUUUACCCAACUCAUUAUUUUUGGCCCUUUAAGACCAGAAGGGCAAAAGGAGUCAAGGGGAUUGUUGAUAACUGAAGGACCCUGUAGUGAGGCUUCAGUGACGACCUUCUAUACUAGCUAUCACACAACAAUGAAAAAAAAAUAUAUAUAUAUAUAUAUCUGCUAUUUUUAGUUAUAAGAGUAGCUUUUUUUUAAUCACAUAGAUCACUUAGUUGUGCUACAUAGCAUCCUGCAGGCUACCAAAUGUCCCUUAACCACAGCUACACAGCAGGCUACCAAACGUCCCUUAACCACAGCUACACAGCAUCCUGCAGGCUACCAAACGUCCCUUAACCACAGCUACACUUGUCACCAUGUAAAUCAAACCAUUGUUAUGCUGAAAAUCUGUUUCAUAAUCAGCACUUAGCCUAAUGUAAACUCUCCCGUUCGCAAACCGACUCGACUUGUUCCAUCCGCAGUGGCCUGUCAUACUCAACGACAAUAUUAUGUUAAUGAAGAUGGUUCAGAACAAUUAGCCUGAUUAACUUCCUGUUGUUUUUGAAUGAUAAUUCUAGUGUUUGGCCCCUGCCACUAACGUAGACAUUAACUAGCCGUUAUGUCUGUCGGUUUGAUUGUGUCACCACUACAUGGUUCAGCUGCGGAGUGUCUACCUAACGUGCUAAUUGUUACAGUUAAAAACCGCUGGCCCCUUAGUGUUAACGAGGGCUGGGGAAGGUACCUGUAUUACUGGCUGGCCCCUAGUGUUAAUGAGGGCUGGGGAAGUUACCUGUAUUACUGGCUGGCCCCUAGUGUUAACGAGGGCUGGGGACAUUACCUGUGUUGCUGGCUGGCCCCUAGUGUUGAUGAGGGCUGGGGAAGUUGCCUGUAUUACCGGCUGGCCCCUAGUGUUAACGAGGGCUGGGGAAGUUACCUGUAUUACUGGCUGUAUUGGUUGGAUGGCGUGUGAUAAGGUCUGUUUUUCCUGAGUUUCUGUACGUUUUUUUCUUAUUAAUACCGUCUUCUCUCUGGCAAGAGGAUCUUCCAAGACCUCACGUGUUCAGACCAAACCUGGGUUCAAAUAGUAUUUUUAAAAUCAUUUUCAGUAAUUUAGCUGUGCUUUUAUUGAGCUUGCCUUGUUUCAAUAGAAAAGUCCCAAAAGUACAAACCUGGCACUCCAGGCAGGCUUAAGCAAACUCUUGAAGUAUUUGAAAGAUUGCAAAUAGUAUUUGACCCCAGGUCUGGUUCAACCAGGCUGCCCAGUACCACUUAAUUUCUAGCUUUUAGUGUUACUUCUCAUCAGUAGCACUACCUGUCACUCCACUGCUUUGCUAACAGCUAGCAAUUGUAUUUACUGUGUCUGGUAUUGGGCCUAAAUGAAGUUAUUUCUACCAGGAUAUCAGUGCCUUGAGCUAAUUCAGGAGAGGGGAAUCUCUGUGGCAUCUCGCUGACUAGCAUCUCUCUACCUGAAACGACACUAGACUCAACUCAAGCUCCUCACUUUCCCAAAGGUCUGUUUUUCUACAUGUGCCUGGGGGUUGGGAUGUUUGUUGGGUGUGGAAGCACUGAGCAGCACUACCCCGCGUGUGUGUAUAUAUAAUACCUACUCUCUAUUCUCAGUGAAACCGUGGUUGCCUUGGGGCAGCCAUUUUUCCAAGACAUUGUUCAUUGGUUUGUGUGUUGUUUUAUACCUAUGGGUGUGCAUUCAAAAUGGAUGUAUUGUGUUUAUGUAACUAUAGCCAUGUCUUAUGUUCUGAAUGUGUCGUUGGACUUGAUAUGUGCUCUCCUACUCAGCCGACUCAAUGGUUUGUUCUCAGGAAAAUGUAACUUUUUGAGACCGAUGCUCCAACUAGUUUUACAAAGCCAGUAGGCCUGCUGUGGGACUCUAAAAGUAGACUACAGUAGGUUUACAGAUUAUACUGAACGUUUUAAAACAAGUCUUGACAAUACUACAAGCAACUAUACCAUUUGUAUUCAAAGGCAUAAUUAAGCCAUACUCUGCAUGCUUAUUUUACUAUUUAUAUAAUUUCUUUUUUUUAAUAGAAAUCUUUAGUGAUUUAUUAAAUGAGCUAUUCAAAUGUUUGUACUACUUGAUGUUUUUAAAAAUAAAAUGGUGUCA